GGUGGCUCAGUGGUGGAGAGCUUGCCUUGCAUGCAUGAGGCCCUGGGUUCAAUUCCUAAGCACCA
RNAcentral lists this transfer RNA (65 nucleotides) under Dipodomys ordii (Ord's kangaroo rat). It matches the Rfam family "tRNA". From Rfam's summary of the family: Transfer RNA (tRNA) molecules are approximately 80 nucleotides in length. Their secondary structure includes four short double-helical elements and three loops (D, anti-codon, and T loops). Lineage: Eukaryota; Metazoa; Chordata; Mammalia; Rodentia; Heteromyidae. The record is from Rfam by way of RNAcentral.